AGGUUAUGUACGAAAGGAUGAAAUUGAGGAUAAAUGAAGUUGUCGAAAGAGGGAGCAUCCAUGGAUAUGUGACAGAUGAAGAAGUGCGCGGAACUUUUGCUGUAUGGCAUAAUACACCUGGUUUCACUCCCAAAAAUCAUCCUACUAUUAUUCAGGUUCAUUCUUAGUCUGUUUUCUAAUUAAUAAUUUGAAUUUUAAAUUUGUACAGAAUCAUCUAAUAACUGAGCUAGAAUUUUUCAAUUAAAGACAGGAAAAAAGAAUAAUCGGAUUUACUAGGCUACAACGAAUCUAGCUUUUCUGAGUAGUUUCCUGAAGGCUAUCAAAUUAUUGAACUUGAAUCUCUUAUCUUUCAUAGUUAUUGUUAUUAGUACUUACUCCGUGCUGAAUAAACCUGUAGCAAAGUUUGAUCCCAACCCCGAUCCGUAGUAAAUCAGAAUAUAUUGCUUCAAUAUGGAAAACAGGAUGAGUAAUAGAUACUAGCAUAUUUAUAACUAUAAAAAUUAGUACCAAUUAUAGAACUAAUGAUGAGGAUCUUGCAGAUAAUCAUGGAGAGCGCCACUGAAAAGGAUGAGUCCGGUAACAGAAUGCCCAAUCUUGUGUAUGUGUCCAGAGAAAAGAAGAAGACUACACCCCACAACUACAAGGCUGGUGCGCUCAACGUUCUGGUAAUAAUGUUUAUAAUUGUGUUGAUCAUACACAUAUAUAGGUAAACAGAAAGUUAAUUUUCAUUUCUUGUUUAUUUCACAUAUUUAACAUAUUAAUGCAUAAUAAAGCUUCGAGUAUCAGCAACCAUGACAAAUGCACCGCUGGUGUUGACGCAAGACUGUGACAUGUUUUCAAAUGAUCCUAAGACACCACUCCGUGCACUCUGCUACUUUAUGGACCCUGGAAUGGACCCGAACUUGGCGUUGGUCCAGUUCCCUCAAAUUUUCCAUGGGAUUAACAAGGAUGAUAUAUAUAAUGCUGAACUUAAAGAAAUGCUUGUCAAUAAUAAUUUGGGAAUGGAUGGUUUAUUAGGACCACCUUAUAUAGGUUCUGGGGGGUUUUUUCGUCGACAAGCUUUGUUUGGAACUCCAGUAUCACAUAUACCUCCCCAGCCUUCAGAAAUUAGUCCUCAUCAUGUUGUUAACAAGUCAAUGCAGUCCGCAGAGAUUUUGGCUCUGGCACACCAUGUUGGAGGCUGUAACUUUGAGGUUCAAACCGAGUGGGGAUCAGAGGUCAGACACUUUGGUACAUUUAUUAAUAAAAUUCACAUAUUACUUCGAACCAAAAUAUUAAAUAUUUAUUCUCUAAUUGUCGCAGAUGGGAUUUAGGUAUGGCUCUUUAGUGGAGGAUUUUAACACAGGCUACAGAAUGCAAUGCCAAGGAUGGAGAUCUGUUCUCUGCAAUCCAAUAAGACCAGCAUUCUUAGGAAGUUCACCAAUAACACUCCAUGACAUGCUCAAUCAAUGCAAAAGGUGGUCCAUGGGUCUUCUUGAUAUCACUUUUUCCAGAUAUAACCCUCUUUUCUUUGGUGUGCGGUUCAUGAACCCUCUCCAAGCCUUCUGCUUUGGACACUAUGCGAUUUGGCCCAUUUGGUCGAUUCCUCUUAUUAUCUAUUCCUUCUUGCCUCAGCUCGCUCUAAUCAAUUCUUCACAUGCUAUUUUCCCAAAGGUAAGCUAAAAACUGCACUACUACAGGGUCGAUCAAGUUCAAAUUUUGUAACGUGAAGAGUUGGUACACAGUAUAAAUAGGUAUUCAUAGUAGUUUAAUUAUUUUUGCUCUAAUUAUGAUGUCAGGUGACAGAUCCUUGGCUGUUUUUCUUGUAUGUGUUUCUUUUCCUUGGUUCAUAUGUGCAACAUCUUCUCGAAUAUGUUACAUUUGGAUCUCCAGCCAAAAGGUGGUGGAACAGUCAGAGAGUGUGGAUGAUGAGAGCACUUUCAAGCUUUCCAUUUGCAUUGAUUGAAUAUAUACUAGAAUGCUGGGGAGUAUCAUCGUUUGGGUUCAAUGUGACUAGCAAGGUACUUGAUAGUGAACAAAGCAAACGUAACGCAGAAUGUAUGUUUGAAUUCGGAGUGCCUUCUCCACUUUUUGUUCCAAUAAAUAUGGCGGCAAUGAUCAACUUGUGGGCGUUUUUACAUGGGAUAAAACAAGUGAUUAAGAGGAAUGAAAGCUUUGAAGAUAUAUUUGUGCAGAUGUUUUUAGCUGGCUUUGGAGUGCUUAAUUGCUGGCCCAUCUAUGAAGCCAUGUUAUUGAGAAGGGAUAAAGGAAGGAUGCCAUUAAAGAUAACUUUAUUAUCAACCUUCCUAGCAUGGCUUGUUUAUCUGAUAUCCUCUUCAGCCUUUUGAAAACUAGUAUUGUUUUGUAUCUUGAUUCUAGGACAAUGCUCUCCGGGUGGAGAUAGUAUCGUUUUGUGCAAUUCUUGUAUUGUAUCUUCAAGAUCAUACUACAAUACUUGAGUAUCGUCUCUUUUAUAUAUACAUUUUAAAUAAAUUAGGGUCAUUAUAUUUUUUUUCUUAUGUUCUGUUGGAUGUUAUGGAUAAAUAGAUGUUCAUAUUUGAUUUGAUUGAAUUUUGAAACGUACCAUAGGAGCGUUUCAAUUCAACCUUUCUCAAAGCAAUCUAUUUGUAUUCAUAUAAGCAGCGAGCAUGCUAUUAACUAUGUCAGCUGCGUUCAGUUUCAGACUCCAAUUACUAUCAAGUCACCGGGCAGAAAGACGUGGCCAUUCCUUUUAGCAGUGUUUACACCAUUUUAGAGUUUUGGUGUUGGGUUGGAGAUGAUAUCAUGCAUCUCUGCCUCUUUUAACACCUCUUCGACUGAUUUCCUUCUCAGACCCCCUCAUUUGCUUCUCUGGACUCUUUAAUUCAGUCUUUAAGAUUGCAAGGCAGUCUUCUACAGAGUCAGAAGUGCAAACCUUCAUAGAGAAGCUACAAACAAAGAACUAAUUCCAGUAACAGGUGUUCAAUAACUUGUGAAUUAAAUCUUAGAGAGUAAAGAAUGAACUCUCAAAAUGCAUCACAAGAAGUAGAAGCACUUUAAAAAAGCUGAGAAUGCUAACUUGUCUCUCACAACUUCUGAUUCUUUUCCAAACACUUUAUUAACUUAUUUAUUUCUAACGUCUACUCCACUUCUUUAAUUUAAUCAAGAAGUGACUUCUUUUAAGUUAACCCAAACGGCCCAAUAAUCUCUUAGAACGUCUCUCCAAGAAAUCUUGGUUAAAAUUCACUAAUACAUACCAUAAAUAAAAAUAGAGGCUAUGUACAAAACAAUUCAACUCCAAUGAGACCUUCCCCUUAUAUAUAAUUAUAGCCAACCUUUAUUGAUGUAGCAAGAUUUUACAUCAUUUAUUACUAUAUUAAAACAUUAUAUUAUAUUUACACAACUUGAAAUAAUAAUUAUACACUUUUUUAAAAUAUAGCCGAUCAAAAUAGUUAGUACCAUUAAAACACAAUAUUUUACAGGUUCCACAAAUUUUAUAUAAUAUCUUGCGAUCAAAUUUAACUAAUCAGUUACAGACUUAUAGUCAAUACUAUUAUACUAUUGUAGAUGCUAUUUAAUUAAUUAGUUAUAAUCAAUAGUAUUCUAGAUGCUAAAGUCCUGUUUACCAAGUAUUUUUUAACCAACACAAUUGCAGAUCCUCUUAUAAUUACAGUCUAUGAUUUGUUGGAAUUAGGAAUCGACGAUCACUUCAAGAUUUGGAAAUGUUAUACCCGCUCCAAUCUCCAAACGGAUACAAGCCGUCCCGAAUGAGGACUAGAGAUCUCUGCGGAGAUUCGAGAAAUUUGUCUUUUCUAAAAAAAAUUAUAUUAUAAUAUAUGAUCUUUGAUUAAAAUUAUUUUAGUAAGUUGUCAUAAUAUACAAUGUUUUUAGUUAUAUUUUGAGUACCAAUUCGAAUAAUACUCAUUUAUAAUAAAAAUAAAAGAGUAGAUUUAAUAUAAUUUGUUUGUAUUAUAAUAUGAAAUGAUUUAAUCAAUGUGAUGAAAGAGAUUAUUUAAAUUUUCAUAUAUAUAUAUAUAUAUAUAUAUAUAUAUAUAUAUUUAUCAUUAAUAUUUUGUAUAAUAUAAUAUACAUAAAUAUAUUCAUAUUAUAUAUGAAAAUCGGGAAAUUUCAAGACGGUUCGCGACCAGAAAAUAUUAAUUUUUGAAUCCGUCCCGAUCUCCGAAUUCUGGUAUAUAAUUUUUUUCCAAUCUCUAUCCCGUACUCGAGAGAAUCUCUUAUUUAUGAUUUCGUGCCGAACGGCCCGAACCUGAUAAACGAAAAAAUAGGUGGUCUUUUCUGGAAUCGAGCGGGACAGACUGGAUCGGGUCGGUCAGAUGGGACAGGGACACGUCCUCAGUUGACAUCAGGCUUAAAACUAGGGGUGUAAACAAACCAAACUGUUGGUGAGCUACUCGAGCUCGGCUCGUAAAAUAUUCGGAUUUGAUUCGGUAGUAAUCAAGCCGAGCUCGAGAUCGAGCUAUUUGGAUGUUUUACCGAGCUGAGCUCGAGCUUCAAAUUACUCGGCUCCUAAGGUUCGCGAGCCUUAUCGAGCCUCUACUAUUAUUUAAUCUUUUUUAUUAUAAAUAUAUUUUUACAAAUAUAUUUAAUAUUUUAUUUAUAAAUCAUAUAUUUAAUCGAAUCGAACUCGAGCCAAACCGAUCAUAUUUCGAGUUUUUGUCAAUAUUUAGUGUCUCGAUUCGAGAUUCCGAGCUGAACUCGAGCCUAUCAAACUGUUUACGAGCCGAGUUUCGAACUUGAAAUUAAAGCCUCGGUCGAACUCGAACUCGAGCUCGAGCCCCGAACUUUUCAAUUGAGUUCGAGCCGAGCCUGACAGUGUUCUACUUGUCUCGGCUUGAUUACACCCCUACUCAGAACUCAGAAGAAAGCCAGUAUAAUAUGAUCGCCCACCACGUUUUUUUUCCCUGUCAUCAAUUGCUAGAGCUCAGUGCACCUGAAGCUCAACCAUAUAUGACCAUAUCAUAUUAAUGACUGUUGCAAUCAACCAUUUGUGAUCUUUGUCUGUACAGGGACAGCACUUGGAAAUAAUAAAUCCUCUUUUUCUUUUCUUUGUUUUCCUUCUUUUCCAAAUCAUAUAAAUCGUUUUUAUUAUCACUAACACAAUCAAAACAGACUGCUGCAAUAUCACAAUGUAAUAGUUGAACACCAGUAGCAAUAGCAACUACAAUUGUGUUAAAUUGAAGUAGGCCGAGGUCCUUACAUUCCCUAUAGGCAGACUAUUUCCGCCAACAUAAAAAGUCAAACUUAAUCAGAGAGAUCCAGAAUUCAAAUUUUAUUUUGUCGUAUCAGUAACAACUAGGGAGGUGUUUGGUUCAUGGUUAAUGAGCCCGGUUAACGGGAAUCGGAACCUAAGAGGGAGCAUCCAUGGAUAUGUGACAGAUGAAGAAGUGCGCGGAACUUUUGCUGUAUGGCAUAAUACACCUGGUUUCACUCCCAAAAAUCAUCCUACUAUUAUUCAGGUUCAUUCUUAGUCUGUUUUCUAAUUAAUAAUUUGAAUUUUAAAUUUGUACAGAAUCAUCUAAUAACUGAGCUAGAAUUUUUCAAUUAAAGACAGGAAAAAAGAAUAAUCGGAUUUACUAGGCUACAACGAAUCUAGCUUUUCUGAGUAGUUUCCUG
This 5592-nucleotide long non-coding RNA is filed under the name Daucus carota (carrot). RNAcentral describes it as "long non-coding RNA (DCAR_LNC001278)". Lineage: Eukaryota; Viridiplantae; Streptophyta; Magnoliopsida; Apiales; Apiaceae. The record is from RNAcentral.